Molecule: long non-coding RNA, 5974 nt
Filed under: Equus caballus (horse)
Lineage: Eukaryota; Metazoa; Chordata; Mammalia; Perissodactyla; Equidae
Description: lncRNA (ENSECAG00000031698.3)
Source: RNAcentral
AUCCUGGAAUACCCAGGUGGGCCCAAUAUAAUCAAAAAGGUCCUAAUAAGGGAAAGGGGGAGUAAGGAGAGUCAGUCUUAGGGUGGGAAAUGUGAGGGAAGCAGAUAUUAGAGUGAUUUGAGGAAGGGGCCAUGAGCCAGGAAAUGCAGGCAGCCUCUAGAAGAUAGGAAAGCAAGGCAACGAAUUCUCACCUUCAGCCUCCAGAAGGAACACAGUCCUGCUGACACCUUGAUUUUAGGUUCUGACCCUCAAGACUCUAAGGUGACAUGGAAGUUCAUGACAUGAAAUAAUUUGCAAUUUUGCUGAGAGAUUAAUUUGACUCCUAGAGGCUGGUGAACAGGACUGAGUCUCUUAGAGAAUAAUGUGGCCAGAAGCCAGUGUGCAGCCCAGGAUGUCUGCAUUUAGGGGUGAGGUGGGCUUCAACUUAGGACCUUGUGUGUGUAUGAAAAAUUUUUUCUUCUGCAGAAAAUAGAUAAAUGAUGCCUGAAAUGAAGACAACUUUCAGAAUGAUGAGAAUCUACACUUACACAGCUAGGAUCUUUGAAAGACGCUUCAAGAUGAGAAAUUUAUGAGAAGACUGAGCAGGACUGUGGACAUCUCUUAGGUCUCCUGAUGUUCAAAGCAUAUUAUGUGUAGGAUAUGUUUGGAAAUAGGUCACAACGCAGACGUGGAAUGCCAGCCUUCCUGCUUGAGGUGCCAUGUGCGACGUGAACCGUCCUACAACUUUGGAAGAUUAGUCCUGAGCUUACAUCUACCACCAAUCCUCCUCUUUUUGCUGAAGAAGACUGGCCCUGAGCUAACAUCCGUGCCCAUCUUCCUCUACUUUAUAUGUGGGACGCCUCCCACAGCAUGGCUUGACACCCGGGAUCCAAACCAGUGAACCCCAGGCUGCCAAAGCAGAAUGUGCGAACUUAAUCCCUGCGUCACCAGGCUGGCCCCUUGAGUGAUUUUUUGAAGAUUCCUUUAUGUUGUCCUUGCUCUUUUCCAAGAUGGCAGCCAAGAGUAUGAGGUUACAUGUUCCUUCCCUCCACCCCUGAAACUAAAGUGAUGGACUGACUUGUGGGAGAGAGAAACCAGCUUACUGAAAAGGAAACAUGAAGAAGGAGUUAAUUAAAAGAAUGCUGCAGAUGCAAAUAAUAGCAAUGGGGACACUUAUAUAUCAUUUUUUGUGAGUAGUUGCAGUGAGAAUUACAUUGAUUCUGAAAAUAUAUGGCAAACUGUGAAAAUGGUCAUUGUUUUAAAACUAUUAGGAAACAACGUGGCUUUAUGAUUUUAAUUACAAAUGGUGAAGUUGGCAUGAUAUAUUCUCAGUACCCUCAAAUCAAAGAAGGAUAGAACUAUAAUAGGAAAGGACUAAUAUUUAUUAAACACCUAGUAUGUUCUGGGUACCUUCAGACAGUUUAUAUUAUCUCAUUUAAUCCCCACAAGAAACUUAAAAUCAAACUUUUUAAACAAAUUUAUUUGUUAACAUUGGUAAAAUUUUAAAAUAAUUCCUUAAGAGGCAACCAGCAAGAAGACCAAAGCACAAGCUCAAAGAAUGGUUUAGGAGCAGGGAUUUGUAAAGACAGAAAUGUAUGAGUACAGUUGCUAAAUUAGAUUUACAAUUAAUCAACUUUCUACACCAUCAAUUUCAGAAGUUAAUCUUACUGGAUUGGAAUCACCUGUGUUUUAAUUAGUUGUGGCUUAUUAGUGGCUUAUUAAUAUAUGGUGACAACAAAAUUACGUUUUCAGCAAGGUUAUCAGAAAAUGCUCUGGCAUAAUAUAAAAAGUGAAGUACUUAUCAAUUUAUUUUUUUUUAGUUUGGAAUAAUAUUUUACUUUAGAUUAUCCUAUGAGUUGAGUAAUAAUCUCCCCAAUUUAUUGAUGAGGAAACAAGUGCAAUAAAGACAGAUAGUCUGACCAGGAACAUAUGGCUAGCCACUAUUGAGAGACCAUUCUUCAUGGAUCUCUAGCAUUUCUGCAUGUCUUGUAGGCUGAGUCUUUUGUUCUGGACCAACUUUUCAAAGAUAUCUGUAUAGUGAAUCAUCUUGGGAGACAGAGAUAACGUCUCCUUCCAGAGAAAAGGUUGGACAAUGUGUUUGCUGCUCGUUAUAGAAGACUGGGGUUUCCUAACCUCGGGGUUGCUCUCCUGGAACUCAACCAACCACUUAUGCAGGUAUCACCUGGUCCUUGUUGCAUUGCCUACAGGAAGUGGAAGUCAGGGAACUUGGGCAAGGCAAUGAUGAUACUGUAGCUAUUGCUAUUGCUGUUAGUAAAACAUUGUUCUUUGUCUCUGACCCAAGAGUCCCGUGUCUUCUGCAGCAUACUCGAAACUUGUUAGCUUGCAUGUAGGGUAAAAUCUCAGAGCCUUCAUAGUUCCUGACAUCCACUGGUAGUCAGAACUAGAAUUCAGGGUUCUAAAUUCCCAUGCCUACAUUCUUUCCAUUUUACCAUGACCAGUCUCAAUUUCCUGCCUUCCUCAAUUUCCCACCUUUUUAUCUUCUUUCCCCAUCUAACAUCUCCAGAAAUUCUGGACCACCUGUUUCCUCCUGAUUACAAAAGACUGAUUGUUCCCCUAGGAUAGGCUACUAACCACCAAGCCUCUGAAACUGUCCUUCCCAUCUACCUCGCUGGCUUCUCUUUACUGUAGGAGAAAAAUAAUAUAUAAAAAUACCAAAGACCGAUAAUUCUUAUUGCUCCAUUUUGAUGAGUUUAGUGAUUUUUAACCAAGAAUGCAUGAAGACAACGCUUUCAUCUAACUGGAAUAUACAAGAAGGUAGAAGAAGAGGAGGAAGACAUUACUUUAGCAAACUUCUUUAGACCUCCUUAAAUUUUGAAAUUCGCAUUGCAUAGGUGUCGGAAUAAAAACAAGAUAUUAUGUGUGUCUAGUCCUUAUCCUCCUUCAACCUCAACAGUCCUCCUAACACACCAAUUAGAAUACUUUAUCUCCAUUAUAAAUAGAUUGGUGGCUCCUUACCAUCUCAGGAUAAAGUCCAAACUUAGUUGCAUGACAUACAAGGCCCUUCAUGAUCUGCUGUCUUCUUUCUUCAACGUCUGCUGCUUCGUCUGAUUCACAUCUGGACCCGUCAUACUGAUCACAGCCUGUUCCCUAAGUCCCCUGAGCCUCUUUAUGUCUCUGUGCUUUUGUGUGGAAGCUCUUCCUCCUUCCACCUGCCUAUUUCUUACUUACCUUUCAGAUGAACUCUUCAUGGAAGGCUCGACUGAGUAUGGGUCCUUCUUCUCUGCCCCCAUUGAACUUAAUACUCUCUUCUACUAUAGCUCUUGCUUUGCAAUCAAGUUGCUGAAUUGCAGUAUUUCCCAACUUGAGUUUUCCCAAAGCACUACAGAUGGCUCACAGUGUUCAAGAGAGUAAUGGCGUCCAUUCAGCAAUAAAAUAAUCUAAGCUAUCAAGCAGUAAAAUAAUUAUCUAAGCCUUUUCUUCCCUUUAAAACCAACUCAGAGAGUUUCCAAGUAUGGAUUGAUGAUCACGAGAGGCAGUUAUAGAAGAUCAGUUAGCAUGACCCAGAGUUGAUAAUUCAGGUAUUUUAUUAUUCAGCCAAACUUUACUACUCAUCUUGUGGUAGUGACCGUUAUACAGCUCUAAAUUGUGCAUUUUUUAUAUUAUAGGCCACAUGUUAUUUAAUUUGUAUCCAUAACAGUCAGUUCUAUGCAAUACAAAGAAAUCUGGUUUUGAAAUUCAACUAUUUAAUAGGGAGAUACAAAUGACGCUGAAUCUACAAAUCCACCUCUCCAUGGACUUCAUAAAAGCCAUUAAUCACACUCAUGUGGUCGAGUGUCUCACAGUGAACUUCAAGACCGAUACUUCAAAAUCUAAUGUUAAAAAGGAGAAGCCAUACUGAUGAUUAUUUCCAAUUUGAUUUUUUACUUAUCAGGAAUUAAGACUAUCCCCACUCACAAUAUGUUAUUUACAAAAAUGUUCUUGCAAAUACGGCUGUAAAACCUGUUGAUUUGUUUUUUUAAGCACAAAAUGCAAAACUACCAAAUAUCAGAUGCUGAAAACAGUUUAUGCCUUUUUAAAUAGUGUGUAACAUGUAGUUAAAUUUUAUAUUACAUUUUAAUAUAUAUUUAAUUCUCAAACCAAAUACGUCAUAAUUAAAUUUAUGUGUUGACAGGUUAUGCUUUUUCUUAUGAAAUUUAAAACAAAAUGAAACACUUGUGGUACGUGUUAAAUGGAAAACAAGUCAAAAUUUAUCUGUACUUAGUUUGAAUGUUAUUAAUGCCCUCCCUCCAGAUAUCAAUGUGAUUCAUGGAGUCACUCACUUCAGGUCUUUAUUCAAAAGUCACAUUGGCAGUGAGGCCAUUUCUGGCCACUCAAUUUUAAGUUGCAAGACAUCCCCUAUCAUCCCUCCUGCAAUCAUCCUUCUGUGGCUUAGUUUCUCCUUAGCACUUUUCACUGUCUUACAGAAUAUAAAUUUUACUUUUCAAAAAAAUCAUAAUUAUUAUCUGUCUCCCUCACCAGAAUGUAAGCUUCAGGAGGGCAGGAAUCCUGUCUGUCAUAUGCACUGAUGUAUCCAUGGUGCCUAGAACAGUGCCUGGCCCUUAGCAGGUGCUCAGUAAAUAUUUUGGAAAAAGAAUUAUAGGAGAGGAUAACCUUAUAAUAAAAAUAUACCAAUCUAGAAGGAAACAUUUUCUGCUGAAACAUUUAUAUAUCAUUUGUCAUUUUUAAUAUUUUUACAUAUUUUUGUAUUUUAUCAUUUUUAUGGGAGUUUGCAAUGUUUAUGUUACUUUCCAAGUUAUCAAAUGGGGAAAAUGUUGUGAAAAGUGCACUGUGGUAAUGUUUGAUUCUCUUUAACUAGACUAGGAGUUUUCGUAGUCAAUGAUAUUCAUUAAAAUUGUUUUCUUUGUUACCCUACUGUCGCUAGAACUUAGCUCAUAGUUGGCGCUCCAAAAUAGUUAUUGAAUGAAUAAGUGGUAAAGUUUCAGAGGGAGGCCAACACAAGCUGGUGUGAGAAUGAAUUUCCAGGACACAAUUGUAAGGUGGUGCUAUAAUACCUUUGCUGUAAGCCUAACGUCCUGUGCAUAUCUGUCACUGUCUAAAGACCACUCAUUGCUCACUUCCUCAGUCUCCUGUUUCCUCUUCCUUGUUCAGUUCCACACCAAAGUCCCAAUGUCAGUUGGAGAUGUGGUCUUGAGAAGAUUCGCCCAUUGCUGAGUGAAGAAAUUACUGAACUAGUGGAGGGUGCAGGAGUGGUGGUUAGUGGAGCUACAAAGACAACUAGGGUAAAGAUGAAUAGAAAUAAAAUGAAAAAUGAAUGGAAAAUGAGCAGAAAUGAAUGGUUCUUUUUUGGUUAGGGAAGGUAGAUAAUUUGUACCAAUCUGAGUGAAGGGAGGAAAGUGAUUACAAUUGUCUUGAGUCAUAGAAGUUACACUGAUGAGGGUCAAGUCAUGAGUCAUUGCGUCUUGCCAUCUGUUUUUAGCUAUCCAGGACACAACUUGUGUUAUUCUUGAAGAAAGAAAAAGGUUUCCGUGCUCUCAUAUCUUUCUGAGAACACUUAGGGAGAUUCAGAACAGAGUUACAACAUGUGUUACUGGUCUAGACGUGAAAGAAGAGAGGACCAAUGAUUGUUUCACCUUUAAAUGCUGGGCAGGUCAAGCUUUUGUGUGUUAGAGUUGUUUUUAUAUACUUCCAACCUCCUCUUAUACUUCCACUGCAGAACUGUAGUACAGGUUAUAUUCUAAUUUAAAGAAUGUAAUUUUGAGAUUAUAGCAUGUAAGUAGUAGACUACAAGCAAUAAUCAUACUAUUUAUUUUCUUAGCAAGUCUGUUUUUUUAACAAGAUUUUCCCCUCAACCUUUACCAUACAUCUGUUUCCACUCUCAACUGGACAUCCUAGAAUUAUAAGGGCAUUCAUCCCGAUCUUAAAAAAUCUUCAACACUGGCUACUUUCUUUGAAUAAAUAAUUUGUAUGUACAGUACUUUUCUUCCAAAUUCUCAAGGAGCAUUGUGAGGGGGUAAUUAAAGCAGUCUGUUUCUCC